Molecule: non-coding RNA, 104 nt
Organism: Pelobates cultripes (western spadefoot toad)
Lineage: Eukaryota; Metazoa; Chordata; Amphibia; Anura; Pelobatidae
Source: the annotation of a GenBank genome assembly
AAAACAAGGAAGUGGAGACAACGGUUCGGCUCCUCUCUGAGCCUUUAUCAUGUCUUGAUAAAGGCUCAGAGAGGAGCCAAAACAUUGUCUCCACUUCCUUGCUA